This is a long non-coding RNA of Sander lucioperca (pikeperch), 156 nucleotides long. RefSeq lists it as uncharacterized. The transcript has 3 exons. NCBI's taxonomy places the organism in Eukaryota, Metazoa, Chordata, Actinopteri, Perciformes, Percidae. The record is from RefSeq and is a predicted model, not a curated record.
GGUGUUGUCGUUUCCUUGUUUUAAAAGCUGCAUUACAAUAAAGUGAUGUCAUUUUCUGAACUUACCAGACUGUUCUAGCUGUUCUAUUAUUUGCCUGUACCCACUUAGUCAUUAUAUCCACAUUACUGAUGAUUAUCAUCAAUCUCAUUGUGUAAA